CACAGAAGUAAGAGAAAGAUUUCGGGUUGGUUGGGAUUGAGAAAGUAGAGCAGGCCUGCCUUCUGCGACUUGAGGUUGCUUCUUAGGGCAGCCUGCAAGGCUCCCUCCAGGUGUGGAAGGAAGAAGAAAAUCUCUUGACCAAGUGGGAGAAACGGAAAGAAAAACCUAAAAGGAGAGAAGGAUACAGAAUCUGCAUUUAUGGUCUGUUGGUCCANGAUCAUCCUGUUUACCUGCAGGAGGAAGAGGAAAGGAAAUGGCGGUUGCAGAGAUGGUUCAAGUCCCAGAAGCUUUUGUGGAAGUGACUGUCUAUUCGAAUGACCGGCAUUGUUCUGUGGUGGGCCGGCGUCAGAGAGCUUUCCACAAGGCCAUCAGACAGG
RNAcentral lists this long non-coding RNA (377 nucleotides) under Salvator merianae (Argentine black and white tegu). RNAcentral's name for it is "lncRNA (ENSSMRG00000016547.1)". Lineage: Eukaryota; Metazoa; Chordata; Lepidosauria; Squamata; Teiidae. The record is from RNAcentral.